ACGUUGGAGGGAGGGGGGAACCAGCUGGGGCGGUCUGCAAUCUGCAAAGUCUAAAGUUGAACCCUGCACGUACAUCUCGCCGAUGCCGACAAUAUUUGGUUUGGUUUCAGUGAGCACGUGCUUGAACGCCUCAAAUUUUCUUGAUAUGUCCCUACUGUUAAGGCUGGCGCCUUGAUGCUCCUGCAGGCUACCAGGAAGGACCUAUUCAAUUGUGUUGGUUGUUGUGUUCGUUCUAAUGGGAUACAAGUCACAUGGCGUGAUGGACAUCAGGUGUGCAGAAAUAUGUUUGUGCUUUGAUAGUUUCCUGAUAUGCGCACAUGUGUUUUUAAUACUUCCCCUUGGAUUAUAGGAAUCAGACUUGUGAUGGAGAUCAGACAGGCAGAAAUAUGUUUGCAGUAAAUAGAGUAUAAGAGCUCCUAUGAAUUAAUAUGUUUAGAAGUUCAAUGAUCGAUCUCGUCUUAUUAGUAACUGAGUUAAGCAACAGGCAUAUGUACUAUCA
This 499-nucleotide long non-coding RNA is filed under the name Triticum aestivum (bread wheat). RNAcentral's name for it is "long non-coding RNA (TAES_LNC013339)". The record is from RNAcentral. Lineage: Eukaryota; Viridiplantae; Streptophyta; Magnoliopsida; Poales; Poaceae.